RNAcentral lists this ribosomal RNA (206 nucleotides) under uncultured bacterium. RNAcentral describes it as "partial 16S ribosomal RNA". It matches the Rfam family "Bacterial small subunit ribosomal RNA", at positions 568 to 774 of the family's 1533-position model. The record is from RNAcentral.
CGCGUAGGCGGAUCGUUAAGUCAGAGGUGAAAUCCCAGGGCUCAACCCUGGAACUGCCCUUGAUACUGGCGAUCUUGAGUAUGAGAGAGGUAUGUGGAACUCCGAGUGUAGAGGUGAAAUUCGUAGAUAUUCGGAAGAACACCAGUGGCGAAGGCAACAUACUGGCUCAUUACUGACGCUGAGGCGCGAAAGCGUGGGAGCAAACA